AAAGUUUAGAAAUUAAGGUGUGCUAUUAGUUUUUCCUCUUCAAUUCUCAGUUGUCAUAGGCUCAGUCUCAUCUUCUCAUCUAGUUCUGACACAACCAAAUGUAUUGUACGCACUUGUGAUACCAGCCACUGCUCUGCUGCUCCACAUUUUGCAUUGAACUAUAAUCAAGUAGAGGACACCUCCCCUCUGGAGGAAGACCUCAUUGCACUCUUCACCAUCCUCACGAGGGAAAGCAGAGGGGAGGCAAUUUUCAACAAGAAUUGGAAGAAGGAUCCCAUCACCAGCCAAGAUUUGCAGACGUAUGUACAUACUACUGAGAAUUUUUCACCAAAUGCAAGAUGCAGCAUCUGGAUCAGGGCAAACCCAGACAUCAGUACAGACUGGGAGAUAACUUACUGAGAGCAGACCUAUAGACAAGGACUUGCAGGCUUUCAUGGAUGAAAAGCUGGACAUGACCUGUCAAUGUGCACUCACAGCCCAGCAGGCCAGUGGUAUCCUGGGCUGCAGCAAAAGAGGACUGGCCAACAGGCCAAGGUAGGUGAUUGUCCCCUUCUACUCUGCUCUCAUGAAACCCCACCUGCAGUGCUGUGCCCAGGUCUGGGGUCCUCAGCACAAGAAAAAACAUGGACCGGUUGGAGUGGGUCCAGAGGAUGCCACAAAGAUGCUCAGUGGGUUGGAGCAGCUCCACUAUGAAGACAAGCUAAGAAAGCUGGUGUUGUUCAUACUGAAGAAGAGAAUGCUCCAGGGAGACCUUACUGCAGCCUUUCAGUUCUUAAAGAAGGUGUAUAAAAAAAGACAGAAAACAUCUUUUUAUGUGGGCAGCUUGUGGUAAGACCCUUGUGGGAACAAUUUUGAACUAAAAAGGGAAGAGAUGUAAGUGACUAUUUUAAAAACAAUUCUUUACCGUGAGGGCAGUGAGGCACUGGAAAGGGUUGCCCAGAGAAGUCAUGGAUGCCCUAACUCUGGAAGCGUUCAAGACUUGCUUGGAUGGGGCUCUGAGUAACCCGAUCAAAUGGCUGGUAUCCCUGCCCAUGGCAGGGCAGCUGGAAUUAGAUGAUCUUUAAGGUUCCUUCCAACACAAACCUGUGAUUCAAUGGGGAUCAACUUUGUCAACAACUCUGAAAGGCCGGCACAUUGUACUAAACCUACUUAUUUUCUUUUCAGUCUACAAGGCUGACAGUUAUUCUGAAUUGCAAGGACCUCACAUUCUUGCUGAAGCACUUACAACUAAGCAGCAUUUUCUUUUCUUGGAGACAAAUAUUCUCUUUAACUUAUGAGGUUCUGAACCAGAUUUUAUCUCUGAAAACUCAUGAGGCACUUUUGGGCUUUUCAUAGCUUUUUGGGUUCAUCCAUUCUUCACCAAAACAACAUGCAAAGAGGCAGAUGGUUAAAUGAGGGUAGGGAAGGCUUAAAUCCCUCUCUUAUUUGCUUUUAUAAUGAGGAUCAGAAAGUAUUCUUCACUGUUUAGAAGCAGACUCUCCUCUAGUUACAGAAAAUGCAGUAUGAAGUCUAGGCCAAAAGAGCAGACCCAAGAAAAUUUUAUAAGGUCUUGUGUCACGUCUUGGAUAAUAAUGAUUCCUUUAAGUUUAGAAUGGGAUAAAUGUGUUACGCCUAACAUUUUCACUGUUCUACAAGGAGUCACCUAGUCAUGCACUCCUAGCAAGCUAAGGAAGAAAAGUAUUUGAUUAAAAUUCCACAAAAUUAUUGCUAAAAUUAAAAAUAUAAGGAGUAUGACCCAUGAAAAAGAGGAAUAAAAUAAAAACUGACGAG
This is a long non-coding RNA of Passer domesticus (house sparrow), 1770 nucleotides long. RefSeq lists it as uncharacterized. NCBI's taxonomy places the organism in Eukaryota, Metazoa, Chordata, Aves, Passeriformes, Passeridae. The transcript is spliced from 3 exons. The record is from RefSeq and is a predicted model, not a curated record.